This 474-nucleotide ribosomal RNA is filed under the name uncultured organism. RNAcentral describes it as "partial 16S ribosomal RNA". It matches the Rfam family "Bacterial small subunit ribosomal RNA", at positions 331 to 797 of the family's 1533-position model. The record is from RNAcentral.
GUACACUCCUGCGGGAGGCAGCAGUGGGGAAUUUUGGACAAUGGGCGAAAGCCUGAUCCAGCAAUGCCGCGUGUGUGAAGAAGGCCUUCGGGUUGUAAAGCACUUUUGUCCGGAAAGAAAUCCUUGGCUCUAAUACAGUCGGGGGAUGACGGUACCGGAAGAAUAAGCACCGGCUAACUACGUGCCAGCAGCCGCGGUAAUACGUAGGGUGCGAGCGUUAAUCGGAAUUACUGGGCGUAAAGCGUGCGCAGGCGGUUUGCUAAGACCGAUGUGAAAUCCCCGGGCUCAACCUGGGAACUGCAUUGGUGACUGGCAGGCUAGAGUAUGGCAGAGGGGGGUAGAAUUCCACGUGUAGCAGUGAAAUGCGUAGAGAUGUGGAGGAAUACCGAUGGCGAAGGCAGCCCCCUGGGCCAAUACUGACGCUCAUGCACGAAAGCGUGGGGAGCAAACAGGAUUAGAAACCCUUGUAGUCCC